This 483-nucleotide ribosomal RNA is filed under the name uncultured bacterium. RNAcentral's name for it is "partial 16S ribosomal RNA". It matches the Rfam family "Bacterial small subunit ribosomal RNA", at positions 28 to 507 of the family's 1533-position model. The record is from RNAcentral.
GACGAACGCUGGCGGCGUGCUUAACACAUGCAAGUCGAACGCUGAAGCUCAGCUUUUGUUGGGUGGAUGAGUGGCGAACGGGUGAGUAACACGUGAGUAACCUGCCCCCUUCUUUGGGAUAACGCCCGGAAACGGGUGCUAAUACUUGAUAUUCACUGGUCUUCGCAUGGGGGUUGGUGGAAAGGGGUUUUCUGGUGGGGGAUGGGCUCGCGGCCUAUCAGCUUGUUGGUGGGGUGAUGGCCUACCAAGGCUUUGACGGGUAGGCGGGCUGAGAGGGUGACCGGUCACAUUGGGACUGAGAUACGGCCUAGACUCCUACGGGGGGCAGCAGUGGGGAAUAUUGCACAAUGGGCGCAAGCCUGAUGCAGCGACGCCGCGGGAGGGAUGGAGGCCUUCGGGUUGUGAACCUCUUUCGCUCAUGGUCAAGCCGCAACAAUGGUUGUGGUGAGGGUAGUGGGUAAAGAAGCGCCGGCUAACUACGUG